GUCAGAAAUGGCGAACUCACUUCAACUUCCGGUCAUCGACCUUUGUUCGCCGGACCGCACCGCCACCGCUCGUGAGAUACGCCGGGCAUGUAUAGAUUACGGUUUCUUCUACCUGAUAAACCACGGAGUAGAACAAACCCUAUUCCGGCAGGUUUUCGAACAGAGCAGGCGGUUUUUCUCGCUGCCGAUCGAAGAGAAGAUGAAGCUUGAUCGCAAGCAAAACAGAGGUUACACUCCUCUUUAUGCUGAGAAGCUGGAUACUUCUUCGAGUUGCAAAGGUGACUUGAAGGAAACCUUCCAUAUUGGUGCCUUGGAACACAGUGAUUUGAACCAGUGGCCUUCUGAAGGCGUUCUGCCAUCGUGGAAAGCAACAAUGGAAGAUUACUAUGAAAGAGUGUUGAAUGCUGGAAAGAAACUAGUUUCAUUGAUUGCCCUAGCACUGAACUUGGAUGAAGACUUCUUUGAUAAAGCUGUUGCAUUUAAUCCUCCAGAUGGUUUCCUCCGCCUGUUACACUAUCCAGCCGUGCCAAGUCCAUUGGAAUCUCCAGAUCAAGUAAUAUAUGGUGCUUCAGCUCAUUCAGACUAUGGAAUGAUUACUCUUCUAGCGACAGAUGGAGUGCCGGGGUUGCAGGUUUGCAGGGAGAAAUUUAGACAACCACAGAUAUGGGAAGAUGUGCCUAAUCUUAGUGGGGCUUUCAUUGUUAACAUCGGAGAUAUGACUGAGAGGUGGACAAACUGUCUGUUUCAAUCAACAUUGCAUAGAGUGGUGCCAACUGGAUCUGAACGUUAUUCGGUAACCAAGAUUUCUUCACAUUUUUGGCUUUCUUUUCACAUCUUUGCCCUCCCGUAUUAUGACCUUCACAUGUUUUCUAAAGCUCGUGUUACAUGGUUAAGUCAAACGAAAAAAGAAAAGUUCUCUGCUAGUGUCUCAAUCUACAUGAAGAGACCAAAAUUGAGAACGCAAUGCGGUUUUUUCCUUCUAGGUAGCUUUCUUUAUAGAUCCUAAUCCAGAUUGUUUGGUGGAAUGUCUGGAGAGUUGCUGCAGCAAGUCAUCUCCUUGCAGAUUCCCUCCUAUUCGCUCCGGGGACUACUUGGAGGAGCGAUACAGGCUCACAUAUGGUUCAUAGUGUAAUGAACACAUAACGGUUCGUGCAGAUUCUCGUCACACUUCACAUCUGCUGCUGGAAAUAUCGAAUGUUGUUCAAGAAUAAACAUUUUCAUCCAUAUAUUUUUAUAUUUCUGAACCAUUUUUUUAAUGCGUGGAUAUGUAUUAUUAAUUGUAAGAACUCCGGACAAGAAUCCGUAUCUAUAGCCUAUAGGCUAGUUUUUAAUUUUCCAUUCUUUUUUUUUUAUGGUGCACGAAUUAAAUUUCACUCUUGUAUAAUUAUUUUGAAGAAAUAAAUUAUUAGGAAGAUCCUAUUGCGCAA
Ipomoea triloba (trilobed morning glory) is the source of this 1427-nucleotide RNA transcript. It is a transcript of the gene named 2-oxoglutarate-Fe(II) type oxidoreductase hxnY-like, with no coding region annotated. The transcript is spliced from 12 exons. Lineage: Eukaryota; Viridiplantae; Streptophyta; Magnoliopsida; Solanales; Convolvulaceae. The record is from RefSeq and is a predicted model, not a curated record.